AUUUAUUAAAAAAUAAUAGGAUUUUAGUGUAUAAUGAAGCCAUUAAAAAAUUAAAAUUAAAGUUCUUACUCGAAAUCUUUGGAACUUCAUCUUCAACUAUAUUUACUAUAGAUGAAGACAUUGUUUUGGAUCUGAUACUGGAGAAAAAAAUAAACGAGAAGAAACAAUAAGGUAUGACCAAUAGAUUAAGACAUUUUUUUUUCAAAAGAAUUGUGUUUGAGAAAAUAACUAUUCAUUCCAUUGUUUUUAUAACUUGUUUCUGACUAUUUAUAAAACUGUAUCCACC
RNAcentral lists this long non-coding RNA (286 nucleotides) under Lathyrus oleraceus (garden pea). RNAcentral's name for it is "Pisum sativum (pea) long non-coding RNA (PSAT_LNC003893)". The record is from RNAcentral. Lineage: Eukaryota; Viridiplantae; Streptophyta; Magnoliopsida; Fabales; Fabaceae.